This 585-nucleotide ribosomal RNA is filed under the name Aspergillus pseudoglaucus. RNAcentral's name for it is "eukaryotic LSU rRNA". It matches the Rfam family "Eukaryotic large subunit ribosomal RNA", at positions 11 to 599 of the family's 3401-position model. The record is from RNAcentral. Lineage: Eukaryota; Fungi; Ascomycota; Eurotiomycetes; Eurotiales; Aspergillaceae.
UCAGGUAGGGAUACCCGCUGAACUUAAGCAUAUCAAUAAGCGGAGGAAAAGAAACCAACAGGGAUUGCCUCAGUAACGGCGAGUGAAGCGGCAAGAGCUCAAAUUUGAAAUCUGGCCCCUUCGGGGUCCGAGUUGUAAUUUGUAGAGGAUGCUUCGGGUGCGGCCCCCGUCUAAGUGCUCUGGAACGGGCCAUCGGAGAGGGUGAGAAUCCCGUCUGGGACGGGGUGUCCGCGUCCAUGUGAAGCUCCUUCGACGAGUCGAGUUGUUUGGGAAUGCAGCUCUAAAUGGGUGGUAAAUUUCAUCUAAAGCUAAAUACUGGCCGGAGACCGAUAGCGCACAAGUAGAGUGAUCGAAAGAUGAAAAGCACUUUGAAAAGAGAGUUAAACAGCACGUGAAAUUGUUGAAAGGGAAGCGCUUGCGACCAGACUCGCUUCCGGGGUUCAGCCGGCUUUCGGGCCGGUGUACUUCCCCGGGGGCGGGCCAGCGUCGGUUUGGGCGGCCGGUCAAAGGCCCCUGGAAUGUAACGCCCCUCGGGGCGCCUUAUAGCCAGGGGUGUCAUGCGGCCAGCCUGGACCGAGGAACGCG